CUCUCGAUAGCUCAGUGGUAGAGCACAUGACUGUAGAAUGUUAGAUAUCGUGGGGCCGCUGGUUCAAAUCCGGCUCGAGAGA
This is a transfer RNA of Edhazardia aedis, 82 nucleotides long. It matches the Rfam family "tRNA". From Rfam's summary of the family: Transfer RNA (tRNA) molecules are approximately 80 nucleotides in length. Their secondary structure includes four short double-helical elements and three loops (D, anti-codon, and T loops). The record is from Rfam. Lineage: Eukaryota; Fungi; Microsporidia; Culicosporidae.